UUUCGUUAAUACAUAUUUCACAGGCCAUUCCAAUUUUGCAGUUAACGCUUGUCGGAAGAUUGCGCCACAUGUGUGUUAUUGUUGGAAAUUGAUUGUCAGUUAAAUUGAAAACAUGUCAGGCCGGGCAGGUGGUAAGAAGAAGCCUUUAAAGGCUCAGAAGAAAGAACAGAAGGAAUUCAGUGAGGAGGAUCUUGAAUUCAAGCAAAAGAAGAAGGAAGAGCAAGCUGCAUUGAAGGCAAUGAAGGAGAAGGCUGGCCAGAAAGGUCCUUUAACUGGAGGAGGAAUCAAGAAAUCUGGCAAGAAAUGACCCUGGCUUUGGCUGCCAUAUUUUUAGAGGCGUUUAUCAUGUUUACCUGCAGAGAAAACUUUGUCAUCACUCCUGGUUUACCAUAUACAUGACUUUGUGUUGACUUGUUACCAUGCAAUGUUGGCCAAUUGUUCGUUAUGUAUCUUAUCAUGUAAUAAAAUUUUGAACUCCCAAAUAAAGCAUUUAUUAAAUUCUUUAGAUAGAA
Long non-coding RNA from Haliotis rubra (blacklip abalone), 512 nucleotides. RefSeq lists it as uncharacterized. The transcript is spliced from 4 exons. The record is from RefSeq and is a predicted model, not a curated record. NCBI's taxonomy places the organism in Eukaryota, Metazoa, Mollusca, Gastropoda, Lepetellida, Haliotidae.